AGUCGUAACAAGGUUUCCGUAGGUGAACCUGCGGAAGGAUCAUUACUGUGAAUUAACUUCCACACAUGCGUGAGCGCACAAAACACAUAAACCGUGAGUAAUUUUUGUCGAAACUUGAAAAAAAAAUACAAAACUUUCAACAACGGAUCUCUUGGUUCUCGCAUCGAUGAAGAGCGCAGCGAAAUGCGAUACCUAGUGUGAAUUGCAGCCAUCGUGAAUCAUCGAGUUCUUGAACGCACAUUGCGCCCGUCGGUAUUCCGGCGGGCAUGCCUGUCUGAGCGUCGUUUCCUUCUUGGAACUUUUGUUAAAGAAAGAUCCAGAGCUGGCCGUGCCACUGGCCCGGCCGAAAAGAAACGUUGCGGACGAAGCGAACUACAUCGGGACGCUUUGGCCGCCGAGCGAAAAUAUAUCAUUGAGCUCGACCUCAGAUCAGGUAGGAGUACCCGCUGAACUUAAGCAUAUCAAUAA
RNAcentral lists this unclassified non-coding RNA (468 nucleotides) under Pichia manshurica. Its description in RNAcentral is "sequence contains 18S rRNA gene, ITS1, 5.8S rRNA gene, ITS2, 28S rRNA gene". The stretch from base 132 to 284 matches the Rfam family "5.8S ribosomal RNA". Lineage: Eukaryota; Fungi; Ascomycota; Pichiomycetes; Pichiales; Pichiaceae. The record is from RNAcentral.